RNAcentral lists this long non-coding RNA (526 nucleotides) under Apteryx rowi (Okarito brown kiwi). RNAcentral's name for it is "lncRNA (ENSARWG00000010706.1)". Lineage: Eukaryota; Metazoa; Chordata; Aves; Apterygiformes; Apterygidae. The record is from RNAcentral.
GUGAAAGGUUUCGGGGCCUCGCGAAGAGCAAGGGCGAACGGCGGGAGCCUCGCGCCCAGCGGUCGGCCGGGACGCGCCGGGCGUCUUGCAAAACGCGGGCGCAGCCGAAAGCCGAGCCCCGAACCCCCCCGCUGCUCCUUGGGGGUGCUUUUACGGGGGGGGAAAACACCCGGGCCAGGGUGGAAAAAUCCUCCUUCGUGCUUGUGCUAAUUGCACACGUUUUGGGUUUUUUUUUAGCCUGUGCAGCCAGGUUAAACGAGAGCCCGCGCUAGCUGACUUUCCGCCCCCCGCCAGGAGUUACAACCCCGUGUUUUGGUAGCUCGGCGCCGAGGCAGCGUUUCGGAAACGCGGAUGCAGCCCAGACCCGCCGCCGCUUUGGUGCAUCCCUGCAGGACAAAGAUCCUCUCGCCGCUCGCGACGUUCCUGCUUCCCGCGCCUCCUCCCGUGGCGGGUCCCCCCCGAGUUCGGAUCUUGGCCCAAAGGCAGCGAGGACACCGUUCCCACGGAUCCUCGAACCGGCCGUGGC